CAGUAGCCACGGUAAUACGGAGGGUGCAAGCGUUAAUCGGAAUUACUGGGCGUAAAGCGUGCGUAGGCGGUUCGUUAAGUCUGUUGUGAAAGCCCCGGGCUCAACCUGGGAAUGGCAAUGGAUACUGGCGAGCUAGAGUGUGUCAGAGGAUGGUGGAAUUCCCGGUGUAGCGGUGAAAUGCGUAGAGAUCGGGAGGAACAUCAGUGGCGAAGGCGGCCAUCUGGGACAACACUGACGCUGAGGCACGAAAGCGUGGGGAGCAAACAGGAUUAGAUACCCGUGUAGUCCCUGUCUCUUAUAC
RNAcentral lists this ribosomal RNA (301 nucleotides) under uncultured bacterium. RNAcentral describes it as "partial 16S ribosomal RNA". It matches the Rfam family "Bacterial small subunit ribosomal RNA", at positions 509 to 807 of the family's 1533-position model. The record is from RNAcentral.